CAGCCGUCACACCUCAGUGAAAGGAGUUGCUGAUGAGGAGUGUGGUAACAUUCUUGUUUCUGGGCAUGCAAGCGGCGUGAUUCCAAGUCUAGAGGCGGACUUCUCCCAGCGUUGGCAGUGUUCAGCUCUACUGGGCAGCGGCAAGUACUUUCUAAAGUCGGUGUAUUAAGGCCCUGAUUUUCCACCACGCAUCAGCAAUGCACACCACCUGGAUUUUCAUCUUUUGCCAACUGUGAAUAUGAAGACACUGAAACAAUCCCGCCACUGAGGGAGUGUGAAAUACACGGCCCCCUUCCCUCUACUGGCUGUCACGUGGGUUAACAUUCAGGGGACGGUUUACAGUUACGUACUGCAUGGCACGUCAGGCAGUAAUAAAUCGUACAUUCAACAGUGGGAGGGGCCAGGAAUAUAGCUCAGUGGCACACGCACCUGCCUUGCAAGUGCAAGGUCCUGAGUUCGAUUUCCAGUACCAAAAAAAACCCAAAAAGCAAAAAACAGUGGGAUGUGGAGGUGGAAAUACCACGGUAACGUUUUUACUGUGGCUUUUCUAGUUACCACCACACUGCAGGCGCAGCGGUCCUGUGCUGUGCCUGCUUGCAGUUUAGGAGCAACAGGCCCUAUCCUCGAAGUUGUGCAAACACAGGCAAGAGCCCGAGGACUACUUUCCGAGCACGCCCCUACACACAGGCAGGCGUGCAUGUGUGCAGUUUUGCUGCUUUCGGAGUUGCCCUCCGUGCUGCACUGACCUGCUCUGAGCAACAGAUGAGCGCCUAUUUCUGCAGCCCCGAGCUGUCCUCAUGCCUUUUGACUUUUGUCAGUGUGUGCAAGUGAUCUCAGUGGAUUGGAUUUCAAUUCACUGAAUUAUCUUCAAGAGCUAAAUCCGGUCUUCCGUGAACUACUUAUAUUCUUUGCCUAUUUUUAAAUUGGUUUUUCUUAUGGAAACAGACCGUUUUCUCUGAAGGGAGCUAAGUUCCUCCACAUUUUUAAAAGCUUUGUCACAGAAUUUUAAUGAAAAAAAUCAACUUUUCUCUUUCUAGACAUUUAGGGUUUGUCUCAGAACUGCUUAGAUUUUUUUUUUUUUAAAAUUUUGGUUUUUUUGGUACCAGGAAUCGAACUUAGGACCUUGCGCUUGCCUGGCAGGAGCUUAUGCCACUGAGCUAUAUCCCUGGCCCUAGAAGAUUGUUUUUGAAGAUUAGAUCUGAAAAACAAUUUUCAAUGCAGAAAUUUCAUGGCAUGUAGAAUCCUGGCACACAACAUGAGCUAUAAAUUCAUACUUCUUUGCAAGUAUUUGGUUUUCCCACUAAUUGUCAAAUAACCAUUUUUCAAUGAUUUAAUGUAUUACAUGAGUUUCAUGUGUAUGUAGGUGUUUCCAGACAAGACGCCAGCCUGGGCAACACGGCAAGACCACUGUCUAGCAUGCUAGAGGCCCUGAAUUUAAUCUCCAGUACCACAAAACACAACCCCUUUUUCUGGCUUCAUGAAUUCUAAAAUAUAACUACAAAAAUAUCUAGGUACAAAAGCAUGCUGCUUCAUCUUUUUGAGCUGGUGUUUAGAAUACUCUGAACCGGUUAUCAUUCCACGCAACUUGGUCCUGUGACAGAAGCCCAAGGUCUCUCUUAGAGGACACGGACAGUCUCACUCCUCUAUAGCUACUCGAAACUGCCCCAAACCACCACUUUUGUUCAAUGCAGUCACAUUUGUUAAAGGCAUGACGUCACCCAUAAUGUAACACAACGUUGGUUCUCGGACUUCAAUGUUGAAAUGUUUCAGGUGUUACUUUUCAGCUUCACGGUUUGAAAUGCACUGUGGCUAACUUAAGUUUUUGCUCAAACGAUACCCUCAGGUUCUCCCCAUCUUCCUUCAGUCCAUAAGAAACUGCAAGCUGCUCCAUCACCUCCAGCCACACCGUGCUUCUUCUAGUGAGCACGCGCCACCACGUAACACACCAUAAAGCAUGGCAACACUGAGUAUAAUUUCUAAGAGUGAAGACUUAGGAACAAAUUCUAAAUAUUCUGCAACAGUUGUGCAAGUUGUUCACAGACUAUUAUGUAGUUAUAAUGUCAAUGUGUGUCAACUAAAACUUUGGAUACAACAACCAGGAAUGUUGGUGCCUAUCUGUAAUCCCAGUACUAAGGAGGCCGAGGCAGGAGGAUUGCCAGAAGUUUGGGGGUAGCCUGACCUACACAGUUCCAAGCCAGCUUGAACAACAUAGCAAGACUCUAUCUCAAAAACAAACAGCAAACAAAAGGGCACACCAUGACUGUACAUUCAUAUGCACAGAAAUUAUCACUGGGUAGUUGUUAAAAUUCACCUAAAAUUGUUCACUUGUUAUUCUUAGAAGUAUUUAAUGCAGUUCUUGAAAAAUCAAUAUAAAAAAUAAACUUUUGAAUUGGGAGAAAGUUGUCAUAUUCCUAGAAAUGAAUUGCUUUAAUAACUAGGAGAAAGCCUAGGAUUCUUAGAGCAAUUCUGUGUUAUUCUCAAUGAAUCAGAAAUCACGUUAAUUUUCCAAAUUGUAACCGCAAACAGUUGAAAUGAAUACUGGAUGUUUUAGGAGGUUCUUAAAUUUUCACACCAAAUUAACAUGACACUGGACGUUAAGGAAAUGGCAAUCACAGCACCACUAUUUCCACAUUCUACCACACAGGACAGAGGAAACCCAAAGCCAGAGCUGCACAAUUCCAACCGCCACUCUCCCCAGCCACUCCUGAACAACUCCAGGAUGUGUACACCGUGGAGUCCAGAUUGUGAAAUGACAAGAUACAAAUGCCUGUCAACUAAAAGACGGGUGAGCUAUCUUUAUCACUAACGUAGUCACCUGAACUGAGAAAAAUCAAUUACAUAAAGUGGAUAGGACUUCAGUUUCACUAAAGUGUCAAAGAUUUACAAAAAAGGUCCUUACCUUCAGGCAUAAUUUCUUUAAGAACUCUGAACUAAUGGUUAGGCUGAUUUUAAUGAACUUCUUCCAUCAUUUAAAUUCUAAAUUUCGGAAUCUCAGAUUUUAAAAUACCCAUAUUCUAAUUUGUUUUCCUGUCAACACCAACUGUGGUAUUUCAAAUCUGCCUUCUCCUAAAAUGUUCUAAAUCUCAAAAUACUUGACAGUUGUGUACACACAUUCCCUGGGAUGUAUUAAUACAUUUGAAUUAGUGACAUGCAGCAACUAUAUUACACUAAAAUUGUAAGCCUUAACUUCUUGAAAGAUGAACAAAAAUCCAUAAAAGGACACACACGCAUACACACUCAUGCAUGCAAUCUACCCUUACGUUUUAGUCACAGCUUCAGCUUUAAUUCCCUUUUUGUACAGUAGCAUCUUGUCUACCCUUGAACAGCUGAACCCAGAAACUUACCAAUAAUAGGAGUAAGUUAAAAUGUAGGGAAUACGGGGUUUCAAUGCACUACAUCAAUAAGAAAACACUGAACUUAAAAAAAAAUACUAGACAGUACAGUGCAAUAAACUAAGAAAAAUACCAAUACAUCUUUAACAAGUAAAUAUACAAUGGAGUUGGGGACCCACAAGACCUAUUAUUAAUGGACCCAAAAGGAGUGUGGUGGAGAAGGUGAACUCAUUUCCUUUUAUUAAAAAUCAGAGUGCAACAGCAAUAGUUAAACAACUUUAUUAACAUAGUCAAGCAGUGAUUAACAUUCACAUCUAUGUCACAUCAUACAAAUGUAAAUACAAAAAUUACUACAGUACAAUAUAUAUUCUCUGCAUGAUCCAAAAUAUUUGGUGGCCCCAAAAAACUCUUUUAAAAUUCAGCAGCUUAUCAAAAAUUAAAACCGUAUUCUAUUUAAAAUGAAGAUCUGUUAGCACAGAGUUAGACUUCAAGAAGUAUCAAUUUAGUACAGUUUGAGAAAUUGCAGGAGGAUGUUUGAAGGACGCGUUCUAACAUAGUGUGGCAGGUACAGGAAACAUCAGAUUUAAAGCUUUUAAGCAGAACUCAUACAACCUAAGUUGUCAGCAGAAAGAUCCAGUUAUUUAUAACUAAAGCUAACGCUACUAAAUUAUUGCACCCAAUGUUAACAUGAAUAGUAAGUGUAAAACUGCUUUAUAAUAUGAAGUCAUUUACCACAUGAAAUCUCUUCUCACAAGAUGAUAAUCUAUUGAGUAGUUAAUUAUACAGUAUUGUCUAAUUAUUAUCUCCAUAAAAAUCCACCAAGCUCAAUUUGGUAGUAUACCCUUGUACACCCACAAAGGAAAACAACGAAGCAUGAGGAAAAGCACAGCAGAGCCCUCGAUGAGGCCGACAUCAGGAGGGGACCAACACUGCCUUAUAGGCUAACCGUGUUAAUAGCAGGCUUUGAGAAAGAUGAUCCGACCUGUGGAAUAGCCAAUUCUGUACGUUAAGCCACAAUAUUAAGGGAUCCUAUGGUAAAUAAAAACUGUUAUAAAAGGAAAACUACUGGCAUUUCUAUUGAGUGAUAUACUGCUUGGCAAAUAGAUUUGGCUUGGUUUUAAAGUAUACAAGUGAAAAAAAAAAA
Molecule: long non-coding RNA, 4476 nt
Organism: Chinchilla lanigera (long-tailed chinchilla)
Lineage: Eukaryota; Metazoa; Chordata; Mammalia; Rodentia; Chinchillidae
Exons: 2
Source: RefSeq, a predicted model, not a curated record